UGGGAUUAAAUUUAUGUAUGUUACUAGCUAGAGUAGAAACAAAGGUCAAACAUUCAAAAACUCAAAGGUGCGUGUAAGUCGGCUUGGUUUCAUAUAACAAUUCAAACGGAGUUUUAUGCUUAAUGAAAAAUGAGGGUGGUCGGUUGAGUAAAUAUCCAAUUGGGGGAAUGAUAUCACUCAAGCAGUUCAAGCCGAGAUCAUUUUAAAAAUUCAAGGCCCUAGCUAC
Molecule: long non-coding RNA, 226 nt
Filed under: Carica papaya (papaya)
Lineage: Eukaryota; Viridiplantae; Streptophyta; Magnoliopsida; Brassicales; Caricaceae
Description: long non-coding RNA (CPAP_LNC001364)
Source: RNAcentral